Vicia faba (fava bean) is the source of this 267-nucleotide non-coding RNA. NCBI's taxonomy places the organism in Eukaryota, Viridiplantae, Streptophyta, Magnoliopsida, Fabales, Fabaceae. The record is from the annotation of a GenBank genome assembly.
AUGCAUGAACAAGUUAAAUUCUUAUUACAAAUCUACACAAGGCUUAACUACAUAAACGAAUUUCAAACUAAAAACAGCACAAGGGGAACGGGAAAAAAACAUUACAGAAGAAAGAAAAGGAAAAGGGGCCCUCAAUCAUUGCCAACGACUCAGAUUCGACGAGCCGCUGAAGCCUCCUCUCGUCAUCCAUCCACCACGGUUCAACUCCAGCCACCACACGCAAGACUACUGCUCCGCUUCAGUACCUCCAUGACCAAACUGCUGUAG